Molecule: unclassified non-coding RNA, 207 nt
Filed under: soil metagenome
Description: partial contains 5.8S ribosomal RNA, internal transcribed spacer 2, and large subunit ribosomal RNA
Source: RNAcentral
AACUGAUACUACCUGCGGGAACCUGCGGAGGGAUCAUUAUAGAGUUUUUAACUCCCAAACCCAUGUGAACUUACCUUUGUUGCCUCGGCGGAGCCUACCCGGUACCUACCCUGUAGCGCCCCGCCGGUGGACUUCUAAACUAUUGUUAUUUUAAUGAUAUCUGAGAGUCUUAUUUUAAUAAGUCAAAACUUUUAACAAUGGAUCUCU